CCUACGGUAGGCAGCAGUGAGGAAUAUUGGUCAAUGGGCGAGAGCCUGAACCAGCCAAGUCGCGUGAAGGAUGAAGGCCCUACGGGUUGUAAACUUCUUUUGUCAGGGAGCAAUUUGGUCCACGCGUGGGCUUCGCGAGAGUACCUGAAGAAAAAGCAUCGGCUAACUCCGUGCCAGCAGCCGCGGUAAUACGGAGGAUGCGAUCGUUAUCCGGAUUUAUUGGGUUUAAAGGGUGCGUAGGCGGAAUAUCAAGUCAGCGGUAAAAAUUCGGGGCUCAACCCCGUCGUGCCGUUGAAACUGGUGUUCGUGAGUGGGCGAGAAGUAUGCGGAAUGCGUGGUGUAGCGGUGAAAUGCAUAGAUAUCACGCAGAACCCCGAUUGCGAAGGCAGCAUACCGGCGCCCUACUGACGCCGAGGCACGAAAGUGCGGGUAUCGAACAGGAUUAGAUACCCCUGUAGUC
This 460-nucleotide ribosomal RNA is filed under the name uncultured bacterium. RNAcentral describes it as "partial 16S ribosomal RNA". It matches the Rfam family "Bacterial small subunit ribosomal RNA", at positions 338 to 795 of the family's 1533-position model. The record is from RNAcentral.